CCUACGGGUGGCAGCAGUCGAGAAUCUUUCACAAUGGGGGCAACCCUGAUGGAGCGACGCCGCGUGGAGGAUAAGGUCUUCGGAUUGUAAACUCCUGUCAUGCGAGAACAAGGUUGCAGGGCUAACACCUUUGCAAAUUGAUGGUACCGCAAGAGGAAGAGACGGCUAACUCUGUGCCAGCAGCCGCGGUAAUACAGAGGUCUCAUGCGGGGUCCGGAAUCACUGGGCGUAAAGGUUGCGAAGGUGAUGUGAAAGCCCGGGGCUCAACCUCGGAAUUGCAUCCGAUACUGCCAUGCUGGAGUACUGAAGAGGUGACUAGAAUUCUAGGUGUAGCAGUGAAAUGCGUAGAUAUCUAGAGGAAUACCAACGGCGAAGGCAGGUCACUGGGCAGUUACUGACACUGAGGCACGAAGGCCAGGGGAGCAAACGGGAUUAGAUACCCUAGUAGUC
Molecule: ribosomal RNA, 450 nt
Filed under: uncultured bacterium
Lineage: Bacteria
Description: partial 16S ribosomal RNA
Rfam family: Bacterial small subunit ribosomal RNA
Source: RNAcentral